RNAcentral lists this unclassified non-coding RNA (196 nucleotides) under uncultured Auriculariales. RNAcentral describes it as "sequence contains ITS2". The record is from RNAcentral. Lineage: Eukaryota; Fungi; Basidiomycota; Agaricomycetes; Auriculariales.
AAACCCUCACCCUUUGCGAUGUCAAAGUCGCCCUGCGGUGGAUUUGGACCGUGCCGUAAUUGGCUCGUCCUGAAAUGCAUUAGCUUGUGCUCGUUAGAGUGCUCGGCAUGGUGUGAUAAUUAUCUGCGCCGUCGCCUUAGGCCUCUUCUGUGUGCGCUGCUUCCAAUCGUCCGCCCGUCGGACAACCAUUUUAAAG